ACUCAAAUGAAUUGACGGGGACCCGCACAAGCGGUGGAUCAUGUGGUUUAAUAUGACGCUACGCGUAGAACCUUACCGAGGCUUGACAUCCCUGGAACCCGCUGGAAACAGUGGGGUGCCGCAAGGAAUCAGGUGACAGGUGCUGCAUGGCCGUCGUCAGCUCGUGUCGUGAGAUGUUGGGUUAAGUCCCGCAACGAGCGCAACCCCUGUCGUAUGUUGUAUUUUUCAUGCGAGACUGCCCGGGCCAACCGGGAGGAAGGUGGGGUCGAAGUCAGGUCGGCAUGGCCCUUACGCCUCGGGCCACACACGUGAUACAAUGGCCGGUACAACGCGCCGCUAAGCCGCGAGGCGGAGCAAAUCGCAUCAAAACCGGUCCCAGUUCGGAUAGGAGGCUGCAACUCGCCUCCUUGAAGUCGGAAUCGCUAGUAAACGUGGGUCAGCACACCACGUUGAAUACGUUCCCGGGUCUUGUACACACCGCCCGU
RNAcentral lists this ribosomal RNA (485 nucleotides) under uncultured bacterium. RNAcentral's name for it is "partial 16S ribosomal RNA". It matches the Rfam family "Bacterial small subunit ribosomal RNA", at positions 899 to 1397 of the family's 1533-position model. The record is from RNAcentral.